AUAUUGGUGCGAGACCGAUAGCAUACAAGUACCGUGAGGGAAAGAUGAAAAGAACUUUGAAAAUAGAGUUAAAGAGUACCUGAAACUGCUGAAAGGUAACCAAAUCGUUUCCAGUGUCUAUAAUCCGUAGUAUAUUUCAUUGACGAGCGUGUGCGUGCGUGUGCUGUUGCAGUGGCCUUUUGGCUGCGCUCGGCGUGUGUGCUGUGUGUGCUUGCUGGUGCCCUGUGCUACGGUGGGACGUCAAGGUCAGUUCGUAUGCUGCGGGAAAUGGCCACUGAGGAGGUAGGGCUUACGCUUGCGUUUGUCUGUUAUAUCUUGGUGGACGAGUAGUCGCGGUUGGGACUGAGGUGCCUACAACGUGCUUUUGAGUGGACUUGGGUCUCCGUGUGCGCCGUGUGCGGAUAGCUUGCUAUGCGUGUGUGAUUGUGUAUGGAUUGAUGCGAGUCGUAACUUGUAGCCGUUCGGGACGUUGACGAAAUGGAGCGAUUUGACCCGUCUUGAAACACGGACCAAGGAGUCUAACAUAUGUGCAAGUGUUAGGGUGUGGAAACCCCAGCGCGUAAUGAAAGUAAAGGAUAGCGUAAGCUGUCUGAGGUAGGAAAUGCUGCGGACUUCGGUUUGCGGCGUGGCACUAUCGACCGAUCAUGAACCCUCGUGGUGAAAGAUUUGAGUUCGAGCACAUAUGUUGGUACCCGAAAGAUGGUGAACUAUGCCUGAGUAGGGUGAAGCCAGGGGAAACUCUGGUGGAAGCUCGUAGCGAUUCUGACGUGCAAAUCGAUCGUUGAACUUGGGUAUAGGGGCGAAAGACUAAUCGAACCAUCUAGUAGCUGGUUCCCUCCGAAAUUUCCCUCAGGAUAGCAGCAACUUAUUUACGAUAGUUUUAUGAGGUAAAGCGAAUGAUUAGAGGUUUCGGGGAAGAAACUUCCUCGACCUAUUCUC
RNAcentral lists this ribosomal RNA (939 nucleotides) under Plasmopara viticola. RNAcentral's name for it is "eukaryotic LSU rRNA". It matches the Rfam family "Eukaryotic large subunit ribosomal RNA", at positions 320 to 1059 of the family's 3401-position model. Lineage: Eukaryota; Oomycota; Peronosporomycetes; Peronosporales; Peronosporaceae. The record is from RNAcentral.